GUGCUCACUUUGGCAGCACAUAUACUAAAAUUGGACCGAUGCAGAGAAGAUUAGCAUGGCCUCUGCGCAAGGAUGACAGGCAAAUUCGUGAAGCAUUCCAUAUAUUU
Small nuclear RNA from Echinops telfairi (small Madagascar hedgehog), 107 nucleotides. The record is from Ensembl. NCBI's taxonomy places the organism in Eukaryota, Metazoa, Chordata, Mammalia, Afrosoricida, Tenrecidae.